CAGAUAUGUGGGCUAUAUAUAAACAUGCAGAUUUUGUUUAUAUUGAUUUCAUGUUCGGAGCAUGAAGUGGUUUCUAAAUUUCGUAUCUGCAUUGACAGAAACAUCAAAAUUUUAACUUUGUACAUGUAUGGAUUGCCCAUAGAUUUGGAUAUUUUGAUUGAACUUCCUAACCCAAAAGAAGAUACGCUACAUUCUCUAUUAAGUAUGAAUAACUAUCUUAAAAGCGCUGUGUUUUGUUUUAGGGUGGGUAAAGCUAUUUAAUUAAGUACAACAUUUUUGGCAAUUUAGGGGAUAUAUGGAAAAUAUCCAGAUGUGUAGAGGGGUUGACUCUAUCGAAAAGCGGAAUCAUCCGAUUUUACAUUGGACAGGGAAAAAGAUGAGUAUGGAAACCAUAUCUCGUUCACCACAUUGUCAGAUAUUUAGUGAGUUAAAGUGCUCAUGACAUGAACUUUUACCUAAUGCAAACUUAGUAUGAAACAAUGCAUCUUAUUUUAAUAAGUAGUUUCUCCAACGUUUACAGGCGAGAAACUUUAUUUACGCGAUAAAUAUAACGUUUUUAAGUAAAACAAAUCGACUCCCCAGUUUGCGGCGUAAAAAU
Molecule: non-coding RNA, 598 nt
Organism: Ciona intestinalis (vase tunicate)
Lineage: Eukaryota; Metazoa; Chordata; Ascidiacea; Phlebobranchia; Cionidae
Source: RefSeq, a predicted model, not a curated record